GGAUCCAUAGUGUAGCGGUUAGCACAUCUGCUUUACACGCAGAAGGUCUUGAGUUCA
This 57-nucleotide transfer RNA is filed under the name Pteropus alecto (black flying fox). It matches the Rfam family "tRNA", at positions 1 to 55 of the family's 71-position model. From Rfam's summary of the family: Transfer RNA (tRNA) molecules are approximately 80 nucleotides in length. Their secondary structure includes four short double-helical elements and three loops (D, anti-codon, and T loops). Lineage: Eukaryota; Metazoa; Chordata; Mammalia; Chiroptera; Pteropodidae. The record is from Rfam by way of RNAcentral.